Molecule: ribosomal RNA, 1231 nt
Filed under: bacterium
Lineage: Bacteria
Description: bacterial SSU rRNA
Rfam family: Bacterial small subunit ribosomal RNA
Source: RNAcentral
AUUGAAAGAUGGCUCCGGCUAUCACUUACAGAUGGACCCGCGGCGCAUUAGCUAGUUGGUGAGGUAACGGCUCACCAAGGCGACGAUGCGUAGCCGACUUGAGAGGGUGAUCGGCCACACUGGGACUGAGACACGGCCCAGACUCCUACGGGAGGCAGCAGUAGGGAAUCUUCCGCAAUGGACGAAAGUCUGACGGAGCAACGCCGCGUGAGUGAUGAAGGUUUUCGGAUCGUAAAACUCUGUUGUUAGGGAAGAACAAGUAUCGUUCGAAUAGGGCGGUACCUUGACGGUACCUAACCAGAAAGCCACGGCUAAMUACGUGCCAGCAGCCGCGGUAAUACGUAGGUGGCAAGCGUUGUCCGGAAUUAUUGGGCGUAAAGCGCGCGCAGGCGGUUUCUUAAGUCUGAUGUGAAAUCUUGCGGCUCAACCGCAAGCGGCCAUUGGAAACUGGGAGACUUGAGUGCAGAAGAGGAGAGUGGAAUUCCACGUGUAGCGGUGAAAUGCGUAGAGAUGUGGAGGAACACCAGUGGCGAAGGCGACUCUCUGGUCUGUAACUGACGCUGAGGCGCGAAAGCGUGGGGAGCGAACAGGAUUAGAUACCCUGGUAGUCCACGCCGUAAACGAUGAGUGCUAAGUGUUAGAGGGUUUCCGCCCUUUAGUGCUGCAGCUAACGCAUUAAGCACUCCGCCUGGGGAGUACGGCCGCAAGGCUGAAACUCAAAGGAAUUGACGGGGGCCCGCACAAGCGGUGGAGCAUGUGGUUUAAUUCGAAGCAACGCGAAGAACCUUACCAGGUCUUGACAUCCUCUUGACCUCCCUAGAGAUAGGGAUUUCCCUUCGGGGACAGGAGUGACAGGUGGUGCAUGGUUGUCGUCAGCUCGUGUCGUGAGAUGUUGGGUUAAGUCCCGCAACGAGCGCAACCCUUGACCUUAGUUGCCAGCAUUCAGUUGGGCACUCUAAGGUGACUGCCGGUGACAAACCGGAGGAAGGUGGGGAUGACGUCAAAUCAUCAUGCCCCUUAUGACCUGGGCUACACACGUGCUACAAUGGAUGGUACAAAGGGCUGCAAGACCGCGAGGUUUAGCCAAUCCCAUAAAACCAUUCUCAGUUCGGAUUGUAGGCUGCAACUCGCCUACAUGAAGCCGGAAUCGCUAGUAAUCGCGGAUCAGCAUGCCGCGGUGAAUACGUUCCCGGGCCUUGUACACACCGCCCGUCACACCACGAGAGUUUGU